This 429-nucleotide ribosomal RNA is filed under the name Gemmatimonadota bacterium. RNAcentral describes it as "Gemmatimonadetes bacterium partial 16S ribosomal RNA". It matches the Rfam family "Bacterial small subunit ribosomal RNA", at positions 355 to 776 of the family's 1533-position model. Lineage: Bacteria; Pseudomonadati; Gemmatimonadota. The record is from RNAcentral.
UAGGGAAUCUUCGGCAAUGGACGAAAGUCUGACCGAGCAACGCAGCGUGAGUGAAGAAGGUUUUCGGAUCGUAAAACUCUGUUGUUAGAGAAGAACAAGGACGUUAGUAACUGAACGUCCCCUGACGGUAUCUAACCAGAAAGCCACGGCUAACUACGUGCCAGCAGCCGCGGUAAUACGUAGGUGGCAAGCGUUGUCCGGAUUUAUUGGGCGUAAAGCGAGCGCAGGCGGUUUCUUAAGUCUGAUGUGAAAGCCCCCGGCUCAACCGGGGAGGGUCCUUGGAAACUGGGAGACUUGAGUGCAGAAGAGGAGAGUGGAAUUCCAUGUGUAGCGGUGAAAUGCGUAGAUAUAUGGAGGCACACCAGUGGCGAAGGCGGCUCUCUGGUCUGUAACUGACGCUGAGGCUCGAAAGCGUGGGGAGCAAACAGG